UACCCGCAGCACAAGUGGUGGUCAUUAUUAUUGGGCCUAAAGCGUCCGUAGCUGGCCUGUUAGGUGCCUGGGUAAAUCGAUGCGCUCAACGCAUCGAACUCCGGGUAGACCGGCAGGCUUGGGACCGGGAGAGAUGUGAGCUACUCGAGGGGUAGGGGUAAAAUCCUGUAAUCCUUCGGGGAGGACCAGUGGCGAAGGCGUCACAUUAGAACGGCUCCGACAGUGAGGGACGAAGCCCUGGGGCGCAAACCGG
This 253-nucleotide ribosomal RNA is filed under the name uncultured bacterium. Its description in RNAcentral is "partial 16S ribosomal RNA". It matches the Rfam family "Archaeal small subunit ribosomal RNA", at positions 474 to 727 of the family's 1478-position model. The record is from RNAcentral.